Molecule: ribosomal RNA, 471 nt
Filed under: uncultured bacterium
Lineage: Bacteria
Description: bacterial SSU rRNA
Rfam family: Bacterial small subunit ribosomal RNA
Source: RNAcentral
GAUGAACGUUGGCGGUGUGCCUAAUACAUGCAAGUCGAACGGAGAUCAUAAAGUAGUAAUACCUUGUGAUUCUUAGUGGCGAACGGGUGAGUAACGCGUUGGUGACCUGCCCCGAAGUGUGGAAUAACAAUUCGAAAGAAUUGCUAAUACCGCAUGUGAUUUUAGAGACUAGAGGCUCUUUAAUUAAAGGAUUUAUUCGCUUCGGGAGGGGCCUGCGUCCCAUCAGCUAGUUGGUAAGGUAAUGGCUUACCAAGGCUAUGACGGGUAGGGGACCUGAGAGGGUGGCCCCCCACAAUGGAACUGAAACACGGUCCAUACACCUACGGGUGGCAGCAGUAGGGAAUAUUAGUAAUGGGCGAAAGCCUGAACUAGCAACACCGCGUGUGCGAAGAAGGCCUUCGGGUUGUAAAGCACUUUUCGGGAGGAUGAGGAAGGACGGUACUCCCGGAAUAAGUCUCGGCUAACUACGUG